ACCAGGCCUUACAGGGGCGCUACAGGGAGGGCGGAAGGCUAGAGGAGAAAGGAGAUGCUUCCUGAGAGCCUACCUGCUGUUCGAACUCUGAGCAUCACUCUAGAACGGCGAGUAGCAGCGCCUUCCAUAGCAGCAGGUGAAUCCAGCUUGCAGUUUCAACGAAUGGAGACCCAGCUUCAUCAUGUUCCACCUCAAAACGUCAGCGUCGACUGGCUGGGCUGCCUUUUCAGAGAUCUGAGCUUCAAGAAGGCCCGAAGAAAUGGUGAUAUGAUGGCUGGAGUUCCAGAAACCACCCUGUGGCCUUGAAAAUGGAAAACAUGGGCUGAGUACGGCAGAACAGAAAGAAAGAGCAUA
This is a long non-coding RNA of Mirounga angustirostris (Northern elephant seal), 354 nucleotides long. RefSeq lists it as uncharacterized. The transcript has 3 exons. The record is from RefSeq and is a predicted model, not a curated record. NCBI's taxonomy places the organism in Eukaryota, Metazoa, Chordata, Mammalia, Carnivora, Phocidae.